UUGUUAAAACAUGUUUAGUAUGAGUUUUGUGGACUUAUAUCAGUGACUUAAAAUUUUAGCUUUUUAAAAAAACACGCAUAAACCUUUUUCUCUCAAAAAUACAAACAUGUACAUACAUGUAGCUCAUAUAAUAUUUUAGCCCAGUUUGUGCUGAACACAGUGGUAUGAGACACUUGCCAUUAUUAUGUUUUAAAGCAACUGAAAAAAGACCAAAUGUAAGAGCAUGUCAGAACCUCUGACAGUGUCCCAAAAUGGUCGGACCCCAGAGGGUUAAAUUAUACAUAGUGAUCAUCAGAGGACUUGGCUGAAACAACGCGAUUCACAUGGAUUACUUCGGCGAUGUUUUUAUUGUUGUUGCGAUUAACUUUUUGAAAUGUGAGCAGUUUUUAGUUCAAGUAUCAAGUGGAUCUGACAUCGAGGGGAAAUAUAACGUUACGUUUCUUGGAUUUCAUUAAAGUACCUCGGUUUUUGUUUGAAGAUGAAUGAGAGAACAUGAGGAAAUCAUAACAGCCUGUCUUUUUUUAGCACAGCAGCAUUCAAAUUGACCAAUCAGAGCCGAGAAUUUCUAAUAAGUCAAAGUAGAGAUGAACAGAUGAAGAUACGCCCCAUAAAAAUACUUAUUCUUGGUGAGUGCCAUGUAGUGACGGAUCAAACGGACACUUAUGUCAAGCUUGAUGAGGACACAGUCAAAGCUUUAAAAGACCUUGUGAUUAAGUCUUCAGUGUCUGAAUGGCAAGAAGAAGUGACCCUCCACUUAAACGUGACAUUUAAACUGCUCUGUGUUUUGGUUCAGCCAUUUGCAGGUUUAUCUCGAGUUAGCUCAAAUGCACUUCUGCAUUUUUCCCAGUAACUUUUUGUUUAGAGAAUUACAUUAUUAUGAUUAUAUGAAUAUUCAAUGGUUGCAUAUUCAUAGUGUACUUUUCAUAUUGAUGUAUAAAUGUUCCACAAUUUGAUAAAAGUAGCUCAUUGCAUUUCACUGAUCUUUGUUUUAUAUUGUAAAAUCAUUUCAAUAGCAGUAAAUACAUAUUAGUUGUUUCUUUAACAUUUAAUUAGUUGUUAAUGAUGGAAGAAACAGUAUCAUUUUAGAAUGAGUUAAAACAUGUUUUGGUGGCAAACAUGCAGGUAAAAUACUACAUAUAACAUUCUAAUAGUAUACUGUACUGUAAUUCAAAUGUCACAUACAGUACAUUAGAAAUUAUGUAUUUUAUGUAUACAAAUGUGUGGGUAAUAUAUUAUUAUUUCAUUUUGUAUGCUAUAUUAUUUAUGUAAUAUUAUUAUAUCUGAAAUUAUUAAAUUAUAUUUAUAAAUGU
This is a non-coding RNA of Misgurnus anguillicaudatus (oriental weatherfish), 1310 nucleotides long. NCBI's taxonomy places the organism in Eukaryota, Metazoa, Chordata, Actinopteri, Cypriniformes, Cobitidae. The record is from RefSeq and is a predicted model, not a curated record.